UCUCGGCCUUUUGGCUAAGAUAAAAUGUAUUAUUUGUUAUUAUCAAUUUAAUAUUUGAUAUAUUUAUCAGUUUAGUA
Molecule: small nuclear RNA, 77 nt
Filed under: Zea mays
Lineage: Eukaryota; Viridiplantae; Streptophyta; Magnoliopsida; Poales; Poaceae
Description: U2 spliceosomal RNA
Rfam family: U2 spliceosomal RNA
About the family: U2 is a small nuclear RNA (snRNA) component of the spliceosome (involved in pre-mRNA splicing). Complementary binding between U2 snRNA (in an area lying towards the 5' end but 3' to hairpin I) and the branchpoint sequence (BPS) of the intron results the bulging out of an unpaired adenosine, on the BPS, which initiates a nucleophilic attack at the intronic 5' splice site, thus starting the first of two transesterification reactions that mediate splicing.
Source: Rfam by way of RNAcentral